RNAcentral lists this ribosomal RNA (274 nucleotides) under uncultured bacterium. RNAcentral's name for it is "partial 16S ribosomal RNA". It matches the Rfam family "Bacterial small subunit ribosomal RNA", at positions 523 to 796 of the family's 1533-position model. The record is from RNAcentral.
AUACGUAUGGUGCAAACGUUGUUCGGAAUCACUGGGCUUAAAGAGCACGUAGGCGGUUAAGAAAGUCUGGCGUGAAAUCCCUCGGCUUAACCGAGGAACUGCGCUAGAUACUGCUUGACUCGAGUGUGGGAGGGGAGAACGGAAUUCCUGGUGGAGCGGUGAAAUGCGUAGAUAUCAGGAGGAACGCCGGAGGCGAAAGCGGUUCUCUGGCCCACAACUGACGCUGAGGUGCGAAAGCUAGGGGAGCAAACAGGAUUAGAAACCCGAGUAGUCC